RNAcentral lists this ribosomal RNA (253 nucleotides) under uncultured bacterium. RNAcentral's name for it is "partial 16S ribosomal RNA". It matches the Rfam family "Bacterial small subunit ribosomal RNA", at positions 524 to 776 of the family's 1533-position model. The record is from RNAcentral.
UACGUAGGUGGCAAGCGUUGUCCGGAAUUAUUGGGCGUAAAGCGCGCGCAGGCGGCCUCUUAAGUCUGAUGUGAAAGCCCCCGGCUCAACCGGGGAGGGCCAUUGGAAACUGGGAGGCUUGAGUAUAGGAGAGAAGAGUGGAAUUCCACGUGUAGCGGUGAAAUGCGUAGAGAUGUGGAGGAACACCAGUGGCGAAGGCGACUCUUUGGCCUAUAACUGACGCUGAGGUGCGAAAGCGUGGGGAGCAAACAGG